Molecule: long non-coding RNA, 398 nt
Organism: Phyllopteryx taeniolatus (common seadragon)
Lineage: Eukaryota; Metazoa; Chordata; Actinopteri; Syngnathiformes; Syngnathidae
Exons: 2
Source: RefSeq, a predicted model, not a curated record
CGUAUUCCAGCUGCACUCGGGUCGACUCGGGAAUCGGCUUGUCAUCUUGGAGCCAUUUCACCUCCGGAUGAGGGUAACCUGGGGGUAGACAGCAUCAGGAAUGUGCUUAAAUACAAGGAAACAGCAGAAAAGAGCUUCAGGAAGCGUCUCAUCUUCUCUUUCCUGAGGGACUUUGUGGGCCUGCGGUUCAGAGAGGUGAAGGAGGCCAUCCAGGGGUGGACCAAGGCCUCUAUGCACGACAACCUGCUCCUGUGCAGGUCAAGCAAAAACAGCAGACUUGUAAAAACCACAACUGGGAAAAACCAGGCAAUGUACUAUCAGACUAAAGUGACUCCAACUACUGGAGACAAAUUCCUUGCGUUUUAAUACACUUGGCCAAUAAAGAUGAUUCCAAUUCC